Molecule: ribosomal RNA, 486 nt
Filed under: uncultured bacterium
Lineage: Bacteria
Description: partial 16S ribosomal RNA
Rfam family: Bacterial small subunit ribosomal RNA
Source: RNAcentral
AUUGAACGCUGGCGGCAUGCCUUACACAUGCCAGUCGAACGGCAGCACGGGUGCUUGCACCUGGUGGCGAGUGGCGAACGGGUGAGUAAUACAUCGGAACAUGUCCUGUAGUGGGGGAUAGCCCGGCGAAAGCCGGAUUAAUACCGCAUACGAUCCACGGAUGAAAGCGGGGGACGUUCGGGCCUCGCGCUAUAGGGUUGGCCGAUGGCUGAUUAGCUAGUUGGUGGGGUAAAGGCCUACCAAGGCGACGAUCAGUAGCUGGUCUGAGAGGACGACCAGCCACACUGGGACUGAGACACGGCCCAGACUCCUACGGGAGGCAGCAGUGGGGAAUUUUGGACAAUGGGCGAAAGCCUGAUCCAGCAAUGCCGCGUGUGUGAAGAAGGCCUUCGGGUUGUAAAGCACUUUUGUCCGGAAAGAAAUCCUUGACUCUAAUACAGUCGGGGGAUGACGGUACCGGAAGAAUAAGCACCGGCUAACUACGUG